GUAAGUUAUUUUAAACCUCUAAGGUUGUGGCAAUUUGCUAUGCAGCAAUAGGUAAAUACGCUGGCCAUCAGAGUCGAAAGCCCCAGCCUUAGGCUUUCGGUUCCUCAGAGCGUGUUAGACUAAAGUCUACCAUCUUCCCCAAACUGUGAAGAUCUACAUUAAGCUCCCCACAUGGUCCCAUUCUAGCCUCUGUCUCUGAGCUUAGAGACGAGGGGAAAGAUCUUCCUUCCUUCUCCGACAGAGGGAGGAAGGAGAAAACCCCACAGAACGUCAACAGUUUUCUUCCAAUGGAAUUCUCCAAUAAAGCUCUCAAGGAAUAUUCUGUUUCUAGCAAAAUUCUCUGGGUUCCAACUUAGUCUUUAAACUUCUUUUAUAGGCUAGUUGAGAGAACCGUUUUUGGCUAACUCUCUUGUAAUUUCUGCUUGGGUGAAUGGCAUUUCAUUUUGUAAACUGAAAGCAAUUGUCAACUCCAUGGCAAAUCAAGAACAGGGGCAGUCCCUCCAGGUGCAGGCAAUAGGGGAAGCAUUGUCUGUAGAAACUUUUAAAACAAUAGCAGAACUGCCAUCUGCCUUUUAUCAUCCACGUGUAAGCAAUUCUAAAUAUACUGAUAAUAAAAUACUCCUUCCCCGAAAAAAAAAUCUUCUGUUGGUCUAGAUUCUAAUCUAAAAAUGACCUGUUCCUUGCCUGUUCCUGUUCCCUCCCACCGCCCUACCCUUGCAAUGACACUGUGUUAUCUAUUGUCUCUUGGCCUCAGAUGGAACUGAGCAGUCUCCUGCCCACACAAACAGAGGAAGACACUGAGAAGUGAAGGGACUUGCUCGAGACCAAAUAUUUUGUGUUUGAGGAAGUAAAUGGGUGAGGAAGAUUGGUGCUGAGCCAACAUCUACUGCCAAUCUUACUCUUUUUGCUUGAGGAAGAUUGUCAUGAGCCAAUAUCCAUGCCAAUCUUCCUCUAUGUUGCAUGUGGGACACUUGCCAUAGCAUAGCUUAAUGAGAAGAGUGUCUGUCCACGCCCAGAUCCGAACCCGCAAACCCUGGGCUACUGAAGCGAAGCACACAAAUUUAACCACUACGCCACUAGACCAGCCCCAAAGGGGUUUAACUUUUUAAAUUUUUCCUUGGGAAUUUGAUAGUGAAAGAAGGUUUACAUCAAACACUGCAGCAUAAUUCUACUGUUGAUAAUGUAGAAUUAAAAAAUUUUCUCUCAUCAUUUGAAUUUAUUAUGUACCAUUUUGGGAGCUAUAUUGGACAACAUGGCCUAACAUAAUAAAAAAUGAGAAGCCAAAGAGAAAUUGAAAAAUUUUAAAUGAAUUUUUAUAUUAAAACCACUUUUUAAUUCCUUAUUGGAAGAUCUGAGAAUUUCCCUAUGGAUUAAGCAAUUGCAGGCUUGCCAUCCAGGCCUUCAAAUUUGUACCAAAUGGUAAGGGAGCUCCUAGAAGCUGCAUUUUCUCCAGUUCUCAUCCUCACUGUGGCUUUGGAAGACAACGGACCAAGGAAAUCUUCCUGGAGAAUAGAACUGCGAAUAAAUGAACUGUCUGACCAAGGAGCACGUGUCACCGUUUGGACCAAGCUCCCGUGAUAUUCUUAUGCGGUGUUCAUUGGAGGAGAGUUUGACUUGACUUCCUUUUGGGAAAAGCUGAGUGCACAUCAUGGAGCUGUGAUCCUUGGUGGAAGUGUGUAUCAGAAGAAAAAUGUACUUGCAUGAGGAAUAGCCAGAGGAGUGAACUGCACCACAAACUUGUUGUUUCUGCGUUCCUCUCCCAACAAUCUAUGACUUCUGUUUGGGUAUCCCGGUAGUUCUGAGGAACAGACUCCACCCCCUUCUCCAGCUCCGGUUCUGGGCUGUCAUCCCCCACUCCCACGGCAGUGAUCCAUUCAGUGCGGACACGUGACCUAACGUGGUUCAGUCAGAUUGAUUCUCAGUAGUUCUGAAACUUCAGACAAAAACACUGUUCUUCCCAACUAUGGGGUAGUAUGUGGAUGCAAGCCCUGUUCUCGAUGUAGACAUUUUUGUUAACAGCAGGGAAUCAGCCUGAGGAUGAAGCCAAAACGCCACAGACAGCAGAGCCAAGAAUUUGGGCUGCAGGCUCCGUGACAUCAUAAACUGCUGCUCUAAUCUUGUCUGAACUUUGCCCUGACUCUGUCCUUUUUGGAUACGUAAGCCUAUAAAUUUUGUUUAGUUUUAAGGAAGGUGGUUAAGUUUUAAUUGUAUUAAUUGAAAAGCUCAUGACACAUUAUCAUUGUAUGCAUCAUGUUUUCUUAUGCAAAUAUAUGCAUAGAAUGAAUUCCUGGCAGUAGAAUUUCCAAGCAUAAAUUGCCCAAUUAAAACAGACACACACAAAAAUAAGGUUAGAAACUGACAUGAAAUAGUGUAUAUUAGGUGGAAACAUGUCUCUUAUGUCAAUAUUUGUAAAUGUAAAAAACACAUUAAUAGGAAGAUUCUUAGAUUAAGUCACAAAACAAAACCCAGUAACAUUUUAUAUAUGACACAGUUAAGCCAAAUGAUUGUGUGAAAAAUAUGUGUUCUUGGUGAGAGUGACUACUAGCUUAGUUAUGAUUGGUAGUUUAAUUGGAGGUACAACUAGCCUUGCUGCUUAGAUACUAAAUCUCAAAAAGGAGCCCUUCAAAUAUUACUUGAAUACAUCUAGGCCUUCUUGUUCUCCUUGGUGGAGCAAAGAAUGCAUAUAACAGUCUCACCAUCUGAGCAUUGAGAACAAUGCAAAUCUUUAAGUCUCUUAAAAUGUCAGCAAAAUGGUGGGGGAGGGAGGGCAUGAUUUCAUCAGAGCACACGGAAUGAAACUUUCUCAAGGCAGUUUCUUACCAGAAUCUUAUUUACCCAUGGCAGCCCUUUCUCCACUGUUUCUUCCCUCUUCUUCACACUGUCUAGCCUCCUCUAGCAACUUUUCUGUUUUCUUGGAAAAAUUUCAUGAACUUUUUUGUUUUUUGUUUUUUUUGGUGAAGAAGAUUGGCCCUGAGCUAAUGCCUGUUGCCAAUUUUCCUCUUUUUUACUUGAGGAAGAUUGGCCCUGAGGUAACAUCUGUGCCAGCCUUCCUCUAUUUUGUAUGUGGGUUGCCACCCCAACAUGGCUUGAUGAGUGGUGUAGGGCCGUGCCUGAGAUCCGAACCCAUGAAUCCAGGCUGCCAAAGCAGAGUAUGCCAAACUUAACCACUAUACCACCAGCCCAGCUCCACUUUUUUUUUUAAUAGAAAGAGAAAUAAAUUUUCCUAUUUAUAAAAUAUAAGAAGGAAAAGGGCCCUGGGUAUAAAAUCUAAAUGUCUAGGAUGUGAAUGGUCGGGAACACAUAAUAUGACUCUGCUUCCGUCAGUCAUGAGUGUGAGGUGCAAGGAAAAUAGGGCCUGAGAGCUCUUUCUGUACCAGACAGAAAACCUCACAAGAGUAAGAGCCACAGAGCCUCUGUGAAGAAGAUGGAUCAGAGAGAAGUGAAUGGUGUAGAGCAGAAAUUUAACUCUCUCUCUCAAUUUCUUUUCUUCGUAAGCCUACCCCUAAGACUCUGGCCUAGUUGGUGGUCCUCCCAAAAGGAUUAGCUCAUAGUAGAAAUGUGUGCACGUGGGACGGGAGAUAGAGGGAGGGACUCCAGCAGAGGAAAUGUUUACGAAUGCACACACUCUAAGAUCACCUGUCUGCCACAGAGCCAUAGGUUUCCUCUCAUAGUUGUUAACCAAUGUGUAAGUACAAUUUUGUAUGCUAGUUUUUCCCUUAAAGUGAUGGCAUAAAGAUUUUACCAUGGCUGUAUCAACUCUUCAUCAAUACUGUCUCUAACUUUAAUAUCAGUGCAAUAUUUCUUUGGGUCUAGAAUAUCUUAAUCUAAUUAGAUAGUCUUCAUUUUUGUGCAUUUGUAUCAAACUUUCUUUAUGUGAUAAAUAAUGUGCUCCCCCCUUUGCAUUGAGAAACACAAAAAUGACUUGUUUACUGUCACAGAGACCUUUGUUUCUCCAAUUCAGAUAGGUAAAUUGUCUAAAUUCUGUACUCUGGGCCCUAGAAAUGAAGGAUAGAAAAUGAGGAGAGGAAAAGAAACCAAGCCGUUCUUGAGGAAAGAAAUGGGAAAAGGAGUUAUAAGGAGGCGAUAAAAUUGUUUCUUCUCCAGGACAAACAAGUGAAAAAAUUGGGCUCCCCUCCCACCAGGAAUUCUGGCUCCCACUUAUGGAUCCUGAGACUGGCAGAUUUUUCCAGGCUGUGGAAAACUGAUACUCAGCUGAGGAAUCACAUCACAGGCUGUAACACUUAAUGUUAUUAUUUUUCACUUGAUUGUGCAAAAGAAGUGUGUUAAUAUGACUUCUAGGACUGAUACCAAGUAAGUACACUGCCUACAAUUGCUGCUUUGUCUUAUUUUGCUCUUGUUCCAAAUUCAAAUGAUUUUAUCCAUCACUUCAUUCAUCGCUUAAGGAGAUGAC
RNAcentral lists this long non-coding RNA (4411 nucleotides) under Equus caballus (horse). Its description in RNAcentral is "lncRNA (ENSECAG00000047592.1)". Lineage: Eukaryota; Metazoa; Chordata; Mammalia; Perissodactyla; Equidae. The record is from RNAcentral.